AGAGUAGAAAACACGCGUCAAGUGUUGCUGAACGGGACGUUGUCAGUAAACGAAGGGAUAACCGCGGUGUGUUUUUGCGUCCGCU
RNAcentral lists this non-coding RNA (85 nucleotides) under human gut metagenome. RNAcentral's name for it is "THF riboswitch". It matches the Rfam family "THF (Tetrahydrofolate) riboswitch aptamer". Rfam says of the family: THF riboswitch presents a pseudoknot that joins P1-P2 and the loop of P3 and two THF binding. The record is from RNAcentral.